AGUGAACGCUGGCGGUAGGCCUAACACAUGCAAGUCGAACGGCAGCACAGUAAGAGCUUGCUCUUACGGGUGGCGAGUGGCGGACGGGUGAGGAAUACAUCGGAAUCUACUUUUUCGUGGGGGAUAACGUAGGGAAACUUACGCUAAUACCGCAUACGACCUACGGGUGAAAGCAGGGGCUCUUCGGACCUUGCGCGAUUGAAUGAGCCGAUGUCGGAUUAGCUAGUUGGCGGGGUAAAGGCCCACCAAGGCGACGAUCCGUAGCUGGUCUGAGAGGAUGAUCAGCCACACUGGAACUGAGACACGGUCCAGACUCCUACGGGAGGCAGCAGUGGGGAAUAUUGGACGAUGGGCGCAAGCCUGAUCCAGCCAUACCGCGUGGGUGAAGAAGGCCUUCGGGUUGUAAAGCCCUGUUGUUGGGAAAGAAAAGCAGCAGGUUAAUACCCCGCUGUUCUGACGGUACCCAAAGAAUAAGCACCGGCUAACUUCGUG
Molecule: ribosomal RNA, 492 nt
Filed under: uncultured bacterium
Lineage: Bacteria
Description: partial 16S ribosomal RNA
Rfam family: Bacterial small subunit ribosomal RNA
Source: RNAcentral